RNAcentral lists this transfer RNA (74 nucleotides) under Escherichia coli. RNAcentral describes it as "tRNA-Gly". It matches the Rfam family "tRNA". From Rfam's summary of the family: Transfer RNA (tRNA) molecules are approximately 80 nucleotides in length. Their secondary structure includes four short double-helical elements and three loops (D, anti-codon, and T loops). Lineage: Bacteria; Pseudomonadati; Pseudomonadota; Gammaproteobacteria; Enterobacterales; Enterobacteriaceae. The record is from RNAcentral.
GCGGGUGUAGCUCAAUGGUAGAGUUCUGGCCUUCCAAGCCAGCUGUGAGGGUUCGAUCCACUUCACCCGCUCCA